AAGAGAAAACAUAACUGGGACUGGGCGGGGGCAGCAGCCUCUGCUGUUGACAUAGAGGUUUGCCAUCUAUUUGGAUGGCGGCAUUCCGUCUGCAUUUUGAACGUACUGGCUCAGCCAUUCAAUAAAUUUUUAACUCUGUGAGAUCACAUAAUGCAUAAUUAGAAGUCACCUGCCUGCCACAGUACCUCCAAGCUUCAGAGAAGCUGCAGAGAGCAAAGUAAGGAGACGUCAGGCAGCCCCAGGGCAUGGAAGCCCCGGAAGUGGGUAGCUACUUUUCCAACUCAUUCUUUGGUGAUGAAUCCUCUGACUGGUCACCAGUUCAUGAUGCUGCCAGCCAUGGACGGCUCCUUGCAUUGCGCAAAUUGAUUGGCCAGGGAUGCAGUGUAAAUCUGCUAACGCUAGACAAAAUAUCUCCUCUCCAUGCUGCCUGCCAAAGUGGUCAUGCAGCCUGUGCAAAGCUAUUAAUUGAAAACGGUGCAAAGGUGAACACAACGUCCAUUGACUGGAACACUCCUCUGUACAACGCUUGUGUCAGCGGCAGCGCUACUUGCAUCAGUGUGCUUUUAGAAAAUGGUGCGACUGCUCAGGCAGAAAGCGAGUUAGCGUCUCCUCUCCAUGCAGUGGCGCAGAAAGGUCACACAGCAUGCAUUGAUCCAUUAACACAGCAUGGCGCAGACAUUGACUACAAUAUUAAACAUUUGGGGACACCCCUCUAUGCUGCUUCCGCAAAGCAACAUUUGGAGACGACUCGAAAACUGCUGGAAUUGGGUGCAAAUGUGAACACUGGUAAAGAACAGGACACCCCUCUUCAUGCUGCUGCUAGAAGCUUCAACUCUGACUUGGUCCAACUUCUUCUUGAUCAUGGUGCCAAUGUCAGAGCAAGGAAUGCUGAGGGCAAGUGCCCUUUGGAGCUGGCAGCACCAGGCAGUGAUGUGAGGAGACUACUUCUGCAGCGAGAAGGUAGAUUCAGUAUCCCUAAAUGAUAUGGACAUAACAAAUGGGAAAAAUGCCUACUGUUAAUGUAUCUAUUUAUAAUAAUUUAUAAUAAUUAUACAUAAUAAAUGUAUAACAAUAUAUGUUACACGAAUACAUUCAAAGCAAUUUUUUUUCCAAGUACAAUUCACUUAGAUGGUAUAGUGUGACCAGAAGCCCCAUAGAUUUGGAAAAUACAGAAAUGUAUAUGUUUAAUGGUAGCCUGCUGUUUAAUGUUUAAUUCGCUUGUUUGAAAUCUCUAUCAAUUCCAUCACUAAAAGUCAUUUGUGUAAGUCCAUGAUGGUGCAGUGGUUGUCCCACUGCAUUAGAGUCCUGACUUCAAAUUCUAGCACUGUUGCCCACUCUGUAGAAUUUAAUGUCCUCCCUGUGUUACAACAUAAAGAUAUGCAAGUCAGGUCAAUUGCCAGCACUAAACUAAGCAGGUGCCCUGUGACGGUUGGCCUCUGCCUUGUGCUUAAUGCUCUUAGGAUUUCUUCUGAUCCCGUGACCCCGAAGUGGAUUAAGCAGGAUGGACCUGUAAUUAAAAUAUCAGUGGAUUCAGAAAGUUUUCAGUGUCCUUCACUUUCAGCACACUUUAUAAUGCUGGAGAUGUCAUUUAAAAUGGAAUGGAUACAUUUUCCAUAAGGACAAACUGGCAACCUGUUCUACAAGGAGCACUUGAUGGACUGAUUGAAUGCGUUUAGAGUUCUUGGGAUGAAACUGUUUGUGAACAGCGAGGUCCGAACAGGAAAGGCUGUGAAGCGUUUGUCGGAUGAGAGUAGUUCAAAUAGGCAGCAAGGCUGAGGCAGCGUGUGCUUGAUGCUGUAUACUGAUAAUUCUCUUUCCGAUCAGCUCUGCUGCUGUUAUUCCCCACUCAGAUACAGUGAUAUAAAUACUCCGAGUGGUGCAGUGAGAGUAAUAUGGAAAAAGAUGAUCUGCUGUGGCAACACUUAAUGGGAGCAGCUGAAAGAAGAAGAAGAUGCAG
RNA transcript from Erpetoichthys calabaricus (reedfish), 1957 nucleotides. It is a transcript of the gene named ankyrin repeat and SOCS box protein 9-like, with no coding region annotated. The record is from RefSeq and is a predicted model, not a curated record. The transcript has 7 exons. NCBI's taxonomy places the organism in Eukaryota, Metazoa, Chordata, Cladistia, Polypteriformes, Polypteridae.